AGAGUUUGAUCCUGGCUCAGAACGAACGCUGGCGGCAGGCCUAACACAUGCAAGUCGAACGGACUCUUCGGAGUUAGUGGCGGACGGGUGAGGAACACGUGGGAACAUACCCUUUGGUAAGGAAUAACUCGCCGAAAGGCGUGCUAAUACCGGAUGAUGUGGUUUACCUUCGGGCCUCGUGCUAUUGGAUGAGCCUGCGUUAGAUUAGCUAGUUGGUAGGGUAAAGGCCUACCAAGGCGACGAUCUAUAGCUGGUCUGAGAGGAUGAUCAGCCACACUGGAACUGAGACACGGUCCAGACUCCUACGGGAGGCAGCAGUGGGGAAUAUUGCACAAUGGGCGCAAGCCUGAUGCAGCCAUGCCGCGUGUGUGAAGAAGGCCUUCGGGUUGUAAAGCACUUUUAAGCAGGGAGGAAGGCCUUAAGGUUAAUAGCCUUGAGGAUUGACGUUACCUGCAGAAUAAGCACCGGCUAACUCCGUGCCAGCAGCCGCGGUAAUACGGAGGGUGCAAGCGUUAAUCGGAAUUACUGGGCGUAAAGCGCGCGUAGGCGGUUUGCUAAGCCAGAUGUGAAAGCCCCGGGCUCAACCUGGGAACUGCAUUUGGAACUGGCAGGCUAGAGUACGGUAGAGGGUGGUAGAAUUUCCUGUGUAGCGGUGAAAUGCGUAGAUAUAGGAAGGAAUACCAGUGGCGAAGGCGGCCACCUGGACUGAUACUGACGCUGAGGUGCGAAAGCGUGGGAGCGAACAGGAUUAGAUACCCUGGUAGUCCACGCCGUAAACGAUGUCAACUAGCCGUAGGGAUCCUUGAGGUCUUUGUGGCGCAGCUAACGCAAUAAGUUGACCGCCUGGGGAGUACGGCCGCAAGGUUAAAACUCAAAUGAAUUGACGGGGGCCCGCACAAGCGGUGGAGCAUGUGGUUUAAUUCGAUGCAACGCGAAGAACCUUACCUGGUCUUGACAUCCUUGGAAUUUCGCAGAAACGUGAAAGUGCCUUCGGGAGCCAAGAGACAGGUGCUGCAUGGCUGUCGUCAGCUCGUGUUGUGAAAUGUUGGGUUAAGUCCCGCAACGAGCGCAACCCUUAUCCUUACUUGCCAGCGGGUUAUCCGGGAACUUUAGGGAGACUGCCGGUGAUAAACCGGAGGAAGGUGGGGACGACGUCAAGUCAUCAUGGCCCUUACGGGAUGGGCUACACACGUGCUACAAUGGCAGAUACAAAGGGUUGCUAACCAGCGAUGGUAUGCGAAUCUCAUAAAGUCUGUCGUAGUCCGGAUCGGAGUCUGCAACUCGACUCCGUGAAGUUGGAAUCGCUAGUAAUCGUGGAUCAGAAUGCCACGGUGAAUACGUUCCCGGGCCUUGUACACACCGCCCGUCACACCAUGGGAGUGGGCUGCACCAGAAGUCAUUAGCUUAACCUUCGGGAUGGCGAUGACCACGGUGUGAUUCAUGACUGGGGUGAAGUCGUAACAAGGUAAAC
Molecule: ribosomal RNA, 1471 nt
Filed under: uncultured prokaryote
Description: partial 16S ribosomal RNA
Rfam family: Bacterial small subunit ribosomal RNA
Source: RNAcentral